RNAcentral lists this ribosomal RNA (465 nucleotides) under uncultured bacterium. RNAcentral describes it as "partial 16S ribosomal RNA". It matches the Rfam family "Bacterial small subunit ribosomal RNA", at positions 28 to 507 of the family's 1533-position model. The record is from RNAcentral.
GAUGAACGCUGACGGCGUGCUUAACACAUGCAAGUCGAACGGAAAGGCUCCUGCUUGCAGGGGUACUCGAGUGGCGAACGGGUGAGUAACACGUGGGUGAUCUGCCCUGCACUUCGGGAUAAGCCUGGGAAACUGGGUCUAAUACCGGAUAGGACGAUGGUUUGGAUGCCAUUGUGGAAAGUUUUUCGGUGUGGGAUGAGCUCGCGGCCUAUCAGCUUGUUGGUGGGGUAAUGGCCUACCAAGGCGUCGACGGGUAGCCGGCCUGAAAGGGUGUACGGCCACAUUGGGACUGAGAUACGGCCCAGACUCCUACGGGAGGCAGCAGUGGGGAAUAUUGCACAAUGGGCGCAAGCCUGAUGCAGCGACGCCGCGUGGGGGAUGACGGCCUUCGGGUUGUAAACUCCUUUCGCUAGGGACGAAGCGCAAGUGACGGUACCUGGAGAAGAAGCACCGGCUAACUACGUG